UCAAAAAUAUUAUAAAAUGGUAUAAAUAGUUUACAACUAUUAGGAAAAUAUGAAGAAAUAUUUUUUUUGAU
RNAcentral lists this transfer RNA (71 nucleotides) under Diversibipalium multilineatum. Its description in RNAcentral is "tRNA-Val". Lineage: Eukaryota; Metazoa; Platyhelminthes; Tricladida; Geoplanidae. The record is from RNAcentral.